AGUGUGGGCACGAGCUGAGAAGGAAAUGAGAAGGGAAAAGAGGAAGAGACAUAUUUAAGUCAGGCUACGGCCACAGUCAAAGUGAGAAGAAGGAAGCAGCAGAACACUAUGGCGAUGACCUCUAUGGCAGUUAUGAAAACAUCUGUGGAAGAGACAAGGCCGGUGAAACAUUAUAUACUUUAAUGGCAGCACAGAGAAGUUUACUGGAGGAGUCCCUCUUGAUGACCAGCAAGUUACAUUCCCAUGGUAACUGUCUCCCACUUUGGAGAUGGAGAAGGAGAUCCUUGGUGUUGAAACAUGGACUGAUGGCAGAAUGAAGAGGAGAGAAGAUGGGGAGAGUGAUGAUACAAUACAUAUCAGCCAGUGGUGAAACUUUGUACAAAUCUAAUCAAAAUGUCAGUGGUAUGACCCCUCUGAUGUCAUAGUGACCUUUUGGAAGAAUGCUGCAGGUUGGUCCCCUUGGAGAUCGGUGCCUGUGGCUAUCCG
Long non-coding RNA from Thunnus maccoyii (southern bluefin tuna), 486 nucleotides. RefSeq lists it as uncharacterized. The transcript is spliced from 4 exons. The record is from RefSeq and is a predicted model, not a curated record. NCBI's taxonomy places the organism in Eukaryota, Metazoa, Chordata, Actinopteri, Scombriformes, Scombridae.